Molecule: ribosomal RNA, 497 nt
Filed under: uncultured bacterium
Lineage: Bacteria
Description: partial 16S ribosomal RNA
Rfam family: Bacterial small subunit ribosomal RNA
Source: RNAcentral
GAUGAACGCUGGCGGCGUGCCUAAUACAUGCAAGUCGAGCGAACAGAUUAGGAGCUUGCUCCUCUGACGGUAGCGGCGGACGGGUGAGUAACACGUGGAUAACCUACCUAUAAGACUGGGGUAACUUCGUGAAACCGGAGCUAAUUCCGGAUAAUAUAUUUAACCGCAUGGUUCAAUAGUGAAAGAGGGUUUUGCUGUCACUGAUAGAUGGAUCCGCGCCGCAUUAGCUAGUUGGUAAGGGAACGGCUUACCAAUGCAACGAUGCGUAGCCGACCUGAGAGGGUGAUCGGCCACACUGGAACUGAGACACGGUCCAGACUCCGACGGGAGGCAGCAGUAGGGAAUGUUCCGCAAUGGGCGAAAGCCUGACGGAGCAGCGCCGCGUGAGUGAUGAAGGUCUUCGGAUCGUAGAACUCUGUUAUUAGGGAAGAACAAAUGUGUAAGUAACUAUGCACGUCUUGACGGUACCUAAUCAGAAAGCCACGGCUAACUACGUG